UGGCGGACGGGUGAGUAAUGUCUGGGAAACUGCCUGAUGGAGGGGGAUAACUACUGGAAACGGUAGCUAAUACCGCAUAACGUCGCAAGACCAAAGAGGGGGACCUUCGGGCCUCUUGCCAUCGGAUGCGCCCAGAUGGGAUUAGCUAGUAGGUGGGGUAACGGCUCACCUAGGCGACGAUCCCUAGCUGGUCUGAGAGGAUGACCAGCCACACUGGAACUGAGACACGGUCCAGACUCCUACGGGAGGCAGCAUG
Molecule: ribosomal RNA, 256 nt
Filed under: uncultured bacterium
Lineage: Bacteria
Description: partial 16S ribosomal RNA
Rfam family: Bacterial small subunit ribosomal RNA
Source: RNAcentral